ACACUCCUGCGGGAGGCAGCAGUGGGGAAUUUUGGACAAUGGGCGAAAGCCUGAUCCAGCAAUGCCGCGUGAGUGAAGAAGGCCUUCGGGUUGUAAAGCUCUUUUGUCAGGGAAGAAACGGUGAGAGCUAAUAUCUUUUGCUAAUGACGGUACCUGAAGAAUAAGCACCGGCUAACUACGUGCCAGCAGCCGCGGUAAUACGUAGGGUGCAAGCGUUAAUCGGAAUUACUGGGCGUAAAGCGUGCGCAGGCGGUUUUGUAAGUCUGAUGUGAAAUCCCCGGGCUCAACCUGGGAAUUGCAUUGGAGACUGCAAGGCUAGAAUCUGGCAGAGGGGGGUAGAAUUCCACGUGUAGCAGUGAAAUGCGUAGAUAUGUGGAGGAACACCGAUGGCGAAGGCAGCCCCCUGGGUCAAGAUUGACGCUCAUGCACGAAAGCGUGGGGAGCAAACAGGAUUAGAUACCCCAGUAGUCCCAUG
Molecule: ribosomal RNA, 475 nt
Filed under: uncultured organism
Description: partial 16S ribosomal RNA
Rfam family: Bacterial small subunit ribosomal RNA
Source: RNAcentral